CUCUUAAAGAACUUAUUUUAAGUAAAAUCUGCUCAAUGAACUUUUAAUAGCCGCAGAAUUUUACUGUGCUAAGGUAGCAUAAUCAUUAGCCUCUUAAUUAGAGACUAGAAUGAAUGAUUUAACAUUUCAAAUUCUUUUUUAUUUAUAUAUCAAAAACUUAUACAAAAUAUAAAAAUAUAUUUAUAAAAAAACAAGACGACAAGACCCUUUCGAACUUAACUUUAGUUUAGCUGGGGCAGCUAUCUAAACACUAUUUUAGUACCUUCUUAAAAAUAAAUGACCCAAUAUUUAUUGUUAAAUUAAUCAAGUUACCGAAGGGAUAACAGCGCAAUAUUGUUUUAAGCUCAUAUUAAAAACAAAGUUUACGACCUCGAUGUUGAAUUAUUUCCCUUAUAAAUGCAACAAUUUACAAAGGAGGUCUGUUCGACCAUUAAAAUUUUACA
RNAcentral lists this ribosomal RNA (443 nucleotides) under Mimetus sp. GH1553. RNAcentral's name for it is "partial 16S ribosomal RNA". It matches the Rfam family "Archaeal large subunit ribosomal RNA", at positions 1922 to 2669 of the family's 2987-position model. The record is from RNAcentral. Lineage: Eukaryota; Metazoa; Arthropoda; Arachnida; Araneae; Mimetidae.